RNAcentral lists this ribosomal RNA (133 nucleotides) under Rhizophagus irregularis. Lineage: Eukaryota; Fungi; Glomeromycota; Glomeromycetes; Glomerales; Glomeraceae. The record is from RNAcentral.
CAGUCGUACCGGCGGAUAAUCAGCCUUUCGGGCGCGAUUCUGUGGGGCAUGAGGAGUUUAACCGCCUUCAUGUUUUGCAUAUUCGUGCACAUUUGGUCUACUUGUCCGUAUGGUGGGUUAACAUCAAUUUCGG